RNAcentral lists this non-coding RNA (27 nucleotides) under Rattus norvegicus (Norway rat). Lineage: Eukaryota; Metazoa; Chordata; Mammalia; Rodentia; Muridae. The record is from RNAcentral.
GGCUGGGAUCCUGGAGAAAAAAUUCCC